UACGGAGGGUGCGAGCGUUAUCCGGAAUUACUGGGUUUAAAGGGUGCGUAGGCGGCUAUGUAAGUCAGGAGUGAAAGUUUGCGGCUCAACCGUAAAAUUGCUGUUGAUACUGCAUGGCUAGAAUUAGGUUGAGGUUAGCGGAAUGUGGCAUGUAGCGGUGAAAUGCAUAGAUAUGCCAUAGAACACCAAUUGCGAAGGCAGCUGGCUAGACCUUUAUUGACGCUGAGGCACGAAAGCGUGGGGAGCGAACAGG
RNAcentral lists this ribosomal RNA (253 nucleotides) under uncultured bacterium. RNAcentral describes it as "partial 16S ribosomal RNA". It matches the Rfam family "Bacterial small subunit ribosomal RNA", at positions 524 to 776 of the family's 1533-position model. The record is from RNAcentral.